This 76-nucleotide transfer RNA is filed under the name Escherichia coli. RNAcentral describes it as "tRNA-Thr(ggt)". It matches the Rfam family "tRNA". Rfam says of the family: Transfer RNA (tRNA) molecules are approximately 80 nucleotides in length. Their secondary structure includes four short double-helical elements and three loops (D, anti-codon, and T loops). The record is from RNAcentral. Lineage: Bacteria; Pseudomonadati; Pseudomonadota; Gammaproteobacteria; Enterobacterales; Enterobacteriaceae.
CCUUAUAUGGCUCAGUUGGUAGAGCGCACCCUUGGUAAGGGUGAGGUCCCCAGUUCGACUCUGGGUAUCAGCACCA